CAAAAAAAAAAGUUGCUGAAUUUGAUUUUUAUUGUUUUCUUUCAGAGUUGAUUUACAUUGCUUUCUCUGGUGUAGAAGCUAUGUAGUAUUAAUGAGGAGGUUACAUUUAUCGUUGUACCAUUAUUGACUAGCAUUUAAAUUUAAUGAAUUUAAUGUGUGUUGAUCUCUCACCCUUUUUUUCUUUCCCCUACUUCACGCUCUACACGUUUUCUAACUAUUCGAUUUCUUACGUACCCUUACCAUAUUUUUGUCACAUUUAACUUUCUAUUUAAUUUUACAUCUUUAUGACAUUAAAUUUAUACAUCCUCCUUCUUCACAACAGCAAUAUCGAACCCACUAUUGAUACCUAAAUGUACUGUUUCUUAUAUGUUUCCUUAUAAUAUACAGUAGUAUUUUCUUGUAAUUAUUUUAGUAGUUUCUUGUACUGUUAGUUUUUUUUGCCAACUUUUGUAGUAAUCGUCGAAUGGAGGAGAGACAGAGCCAAAAGUGUCUUAAAUGCGAUAGUGAGAGCAUUAAAUGCUAAGCGUCUCUCCAUAAUUACUUUUCAAACCUUAUUACUUCAAUUAGUGAUUUGACUAAUUCCUUUUUGUUAGUCAACCGUGGUUAGUUAAUGCUAGUACUAGUAGCACUGAUUAGUGACUAAUGUGCAAUUAAUUACGCAAGAAAAUCGUUACAGAUUUUUUAAAAUCUUCAUUUCAAUUGCCGUUUCGAACUUUUUUCCAUGUUGUUGGCUUUGAAAACACAUUUCAGACACUUCCUAAAUCGUGUUUAAAUUACAAUCACGGGAAAAAUAUACCGACGUUAUUUAUGUAUUUUGCUUAAUUGUUUGCAAGUCAUCAUUUAGAAAAGUAUUUGUAUAAUUAAUGGCAACAGAAAUGGGAAGAUAUUAAUUAAUUGGCUUUUUUAGGAAAUAGGAAGGUGUAAACAUUUAAGAACAGACCCAUAUAGCUUUGAAUAAUAAGUUUCUUCCUUUAUUUUUCUACAAUUUUCUAUUUAGGCUCUUAGGGUGACGAAGUGAUGAUGCUCACGGAUGAUAUUCUUACAUACCUAACAUUUAAUACCACCCUUUAUUUACAUACACAAAUACUUUAUCGGGAUUGAUCCAUUGACGUAGGAAAGUUACUUCUAAUAAAUAUCUCAACAAAUUGUUUCAAAAAAUGAAAUAAUAUUUCAACAAACUUUUUCUGAACAAUUUAUAUGUUAUUUGGUGUACAUUAAUGUAUAUUCAUAGAAUAUAUAAACCAAUGAUUUUCGAGUUUUUUUUGUUUGUGAGGAUACUUUUCCUAACCAGACGGCUGGUUCUAAAUGUGUAACCGUAUCAAUAUAAAAUGCAAUGUGUAUUAAAUUUGGUAUAUUAAUGUAUAUGGCAGUGAGACUGGUCUUAGGAUUUCAAUGCAUUUAAAUGAAAGAUUGGUGAGGUUAUUAAAUUGAAAAUUAAAUGAAAUUAGAUUUAUUUUAAUGCACAUAAUAAACCUUAAAAUCCCAGGCAUUUACUCACUCUGAAGUCUAUUUAAGUAUUAAAAUAUAAAUUCUCCGUUUUAUUUUCUUUUAGGUUGGAGUGGAAUAUUGGUUUCCUAUUAAAAUGUAGAUAUAUUAUUUGUAAUACUGCAUGAUUUAUUUGUAAGCGAAAUACAUACAGUAUUUGUUUUGUAUACAUCCAAGCGCUGCACAAGCAUUCCAAUAAAUAUCCAAAAUAGAUUGAUCGAGCACAGUGAUAGAAUAUAGUAUCAACAAAUACUCACAUGCUUGUAACAAAAAAAUAACUCACAUGUGAACAAGGAACUAAAGAGAGUUUCAUAAACUAAAAAAUUAGGUCGAGGUCGAGGUCGAGAAUCAAGUGUUUUUACAUCUAUGGAUCACCAUCAUAUUCAUAUAUCUGUAGCUCGUGGGUUUCAAAAAGAUAGGCCCAUGUAGAGUGUACUAAGCGCACUUAACUUAAGCCCCAACUAUUAUUCCUUUCAUCUUGUUUUGAGUAAAUGUACUUAUGUCCGUUAAUCCUUAAUUCUUUUUCUAACACCAAAUGCUUGUACUAAAAUUGAAGGUCCAAUGGAAUAACUUUGUCACAACUGAAAAAAUCUUCAAUGGUAAACUGAUAAAUAAAAAUAACUAAAAAAUAACGAAGAACAUAUGUAAAUAGAUCCGUAAUUUUUUUUUCACUCGAAGUUGCUAACUCGAUGUCCGUUAAUCCAUAAAAACGAAUAACUGAGAGUCCUUAUUAUCACUUCUAUAAAGUAAUAAUAUGAUAAUUAAUAAAAGGUAAGUUUGAUUCUAUAGUUAACUUUUUGAUAAAUUAGUAUCUCUUAAAAUUAAUAAAAUAUUAUAAUUUUGAUGUUAUUAGUUCAUAAAUUUUUAUUGUAUAUUAAUAUAUUAAAUGACGUGUUAGUGAUGCUAUAGACUAUAGAUCUGCAUGUCUCAGUUAUUGGCUGUAAAUCAAAUGGAAUAAUUACAAAAAUCUCUGGUAGAAUCUAACUAAUACUAAAACGGAUAUAAAGAGGAGUAGUCAGACUGUCCACGUCGUCAUUUUAAAUCAGCCAAUAGAGUAUCUGAAAUUCGCCACGUCAAAAGCCCAUAGCCCUUAUAAAACCUACCUGCCAAAAUCUCCUAGGCAUCAAUUUUUUUUUUGUCAUCUGAUAGAUUAAGAUUAUAUCAAACAUUCGGUUACACGCAUACAAUAACGACAUUGUCUGAAGUCAAGAGUCGACGAGGUAACAAGUACCACCCGAAGCCAAGAGCCGGCGAGGUAACAAGUACCACCCGGAGCCAAAAGAUAAACAUAACACACUCUUAAAGUUAAUAUAUAACCAUGAAAAAGGAGACAAAAGUCAGAAGAGUGAUAACCAAGCUUCAGCAAGGAAUGCUCAACCAUGCACUCGAAGAUGAACUUACCUAGCGAGACCUCAUCAACCACUAACACCAGUAGAAAGGAGUAACAAGAAGGACUGGAAGCACACGAACAUCACCAAUACAUAUAACUGAACUAAAAGAGGUUAGAAUCUUUAACCGUCGCUGUAAACACUCUUCAAUCCCAACUAAGUCUCGCCAUUGGACCUUGAAAGAGUUCUCCACGCGCCUCAUACGCACCAUCAUACCAUCACCCUAAGGCAAAGCCUAAAAAAGCUUCCCGACUACGUCUUAUUCAACAGCCGGUAACUAGAUAAAAACCACUCCAAAUCCAACAUUAACACGAGCAAAUCAGCGGCAAUCGACCAUCACUGAAGCAAAAAUUCCAGAAAAAACAUCUAUCUCCUUUCGAUCCUCUCAAACACUAGAAAUGGUCUCGCAAAGUGAAACAACUCUUUGACCCCUAAAAUUAGACCUCUAGACACACAGUACUUACUAACACAAUGGCGACAAGCCAAAAUCGGCAAACAAUACAACUCAAGCUAAUGGGCCCUAAUGAUAAGCGUGACGUUCUUGGCCAAACAUCAAAAUCCGCCGAAGGCGCACACCGAGAAGGACUCACUACCACCGGCUUUCACUACUCCGUUCCUCAGCCACAAAACGAACACGAAGUCCGACUGAAAGUGCGGGUUCGGUAAUGGACACGAGCUGGUUUAACAGAUUCAGAAGUGUGGAUCUCGAACCGCCGGGAUGAGACCGAAGUCACUUUCCGGACGCUGGGACGUCGCCCUUGAUGCAUGUUGUCACCGAGAGCCAGUAGACAAACCUCUGUACACAAAUCGUCGGUCCUCUCCUCUGUUUUGCUCACCGCUCCGCGGGACCAGAGAACUAAGGUGGGAGGCGUCUUGCUAAGACCGAGACGGAUUCGCCGUAGAUCUGAAAUUGGGAAACUAGGUCUGGCAAACCCAAACCCUAAAAGCCGACUCCCUCCCCUUCUACCGUUCGACCAGCCUCGCUGCUACUCCAAGGAUAGCCUGAGCCUUACGUCGUCGCCCACCCAAAGUGGAUCUCCGACUUGACCCGACAAAACCAGAGUCGCAAGCAUAUCGGCAAGGGAAGAUGCUUCGAGGGAGAGAGCAAAAAGAAAAAGAGAGGUAAGGGGAAGAGGAGGACCUCCGGCGCCGGAAAGGCCGGGCCGGAGUUACGGACUCUUUUAUCGCGACUCUUUUUGCUCUGUUUCACUUCAAACGUAUCUCACUACUUGUGGUCUAUCUCCUAGGCAUCAAUUAAAACGACGCUUUCCAAUUCCUGAGAUUGUUUCUUGAGCGAUCCUUCGGUCUGAGCCAGAGCUUGGGGAUGCGAAAUCACGCGCGUAAUGCAGUCUGCACGGACUCCGGGGAAAGCAAGGAGUCAGUCGUGGACAGGGAUCUGAACCUGACCGACGAUGUGGAGAAGGUGACGGAGGAGGAGAUCGUAGUUUCUGUGAAUCGAACCUCCGAGAGAAUUCUCCACCGGGAGGACGGCACGAUCCGCGAUCCAGAGCUCCACCGCCUGAAACGCGACGUCGAAUUGAUCACACGGGAUAGCUUCAGAGUUCGGGUAAGAUUUUCCGGCGGCAGCUUCGGAGUACGAGCCGGGAACUCCUUGGUACGCGACAUGGAGGGUGGAUCCAUGAGCCGGCGCCGGCGAAAGAUCUGUGUUUGUUAACGGAUGAACCAAUCCAGGCUUUCCGUUCUUCGUCUCUGACGGAACGAGGCUGAGAUUGACAGAGCCGUUACUUGCUUUAAUCAUGCAAAGCGAUUUCAGAGCUUCUUACUCAGUUUUCGCCGCUGGAACUAGAUUGGAUGUGCUGUUCUCCAUGUACCUCAGAUUUAUAAGCAAAUCUACAACCUGUUCUGAUAUUUCUGUUGAAUUGCAGGUUAUGGCUUUGAAGGAAUGAGGACAGAUUAAUCUACGAGGAAGCAAAGGCCACAACCAAGUUCUUUAUUUCUUGAUCAAAAACAUCUUAUAUCCUAUGUAAAUUAUCUCUCUGUGAUAACCUGAAGAACAUAUAAUUUUUUUUUGUUGUAUGUGAUGGUCGAGAAAAUGAUUACAUGAUUUGGGAUGUGGACUAAUUAACAUAUUUUAAUGAUUCGACAAUUAGUGAUGCAGUAAGUAAUUCUUUGUUUAA
Molecule: long non-coding RNA, 5011 nt
Organism: Brassica napus (rape)
Lineage: Eukaryota; Viridiplantae; Streptophyta; Magnoliopsida; Brassicales; Brassicaceae
Exons: 2
Source: RefSeq, a predicted model, not a curated record